Molecule: long non-coding RNA, 424 nt
Organism: Aedes albopictus (Asian tiger mosquito)
Lineage: Eukaryota; Metazoa; Arthropoda; Insecta; Diptera; Culicidae
Exons: 2
Source: RefSeq, a predicted model, not a curated record
UAAUCUACAAAAAACGGAAUGUUCCUGCCAGCUUCAAACCCAUUAACGGAUUGACGAAACUACAAUGGAAUCUCUGCAUCGAAAUCGUAUUUGUGCAUGAUCCGGCCUGUUCCGGCAAUUUAAUCCCGCAAACCAGGAUGUGGAAAGUGUGCAACCGGUGGAUCGUGAUGAAGUGUGAUAAUCUGGACAGCAUAGUGGAAGAUUUUUGGAAUCGUGUGAGUACUAUUUCCACCGACUGUUGGUACUGUUUGCCCGUCAAGUGCCAGAAUCUUAUUCUGGAUGGAAGUACAAGUCCAUUACUCGGAGCACGAUUGGAUGAUAGUGAUGAACCAGUAAGAUCGAUUUGAAUUUGUGUUGUUGGCCAUCUCCAAGCAUCUGUGUUGUUUUAAAUACGAAUGAAUAAAUUAUUGGUCGUAAUCUUUAA